CACAAUAGAUCAACCCACAAAUAAAUUAAAGGUAGUGUGAAUUUUGAGAAUCUUAAAAGUGACAACCAUUAUGUCAUACAACAAUAACACUAAGAAAAAAAACUAAGUAUAUGUCUAACAAAUCGAAAGUAAAGUCUACACCAAAAAACUAUCAAAACCAAACAUAUAAUUUGUAAGACAAAAUCGUGACGACGGUGUUUGCAUAGUGUUGAUUACUACAUGUCUUGAUAACUUACGAAGCAUCCCUUUUACAAGUUGCAUUUCUUUUGAUCUUCCUUUCCUGUCAUGCAACACAAGUAUAGCCCUAUAACAUCAUUAUAAGUUACUCAAAUAAAUUAACUUUAUUAGGUUCAACUCAAACUUCCAUAUAUUCAAUGGACAUUAACGGUUUCAUGAUCUACUAAUUACCGUGUUCUACAUAUAUAAAGCAACUACCCUUUUUACUAUCAAAUUUCUUAAGAUGUUAUCAAUUACAGUUUGUAUUGGAGCAAUAAUUAAUAUGGUAUAUUAUUAAAAUUGAAGGUUGCAAAGAGUACCAUAAUAGACACUUGUACUUUUAGGCACUUUCAAAUCAUCAGUAACAAC
Molecule: long non-coding RNA, 585 nt
Filed under: Trifolium pratense (red clover)
Lineage: Eukaryota; Viridiplantae; Streptophyta; Magnoliopsida; Fabales; Fabaceae
Description: long non-coding RNA (TPRA_LNC002846)
Source: RNAcentral